GCCGUCGGGGUUUGAUCUUGAAUUGAUGGAAGUUCUUCAAGGGCCUUUGGGGCUUGAUCUUGAAUUGGUGGAAGUUCUUCAAAAGGCCGUCGGGGCUUGAUCUUGAAGGUGGAUGAUUGUUGAUCCAAUGGCCGUCGGGGCUUGAUCUGAGAAGAACGAUGAACGAAGAACGAAGAGGGCUUUCUUGAUUCUUCGGGAACCUGGAUGCUUGAGAGCUUCGGAGUUUCGGAGUUUCAGAGUUUCAGAGCUUCAGAGCUUCAAGGUUUUGGUGUAAUAUGAAUUCCUCCCCUUAAAUGAAUGAAAUUGGCUUCUAUUUAUAGAAUUUUCCAAGGCCUAAUUUUGAAUAUAAUAUUCCAGAUGAAAUAAGUCGUUUCUGCCAGGUGUUGACACGUGUCCUGUUUGAUGACUUUUCCGACUCAUUUCAAUUUUUCGUCGAGUCACACACUACGUGUAAAAUUUAUGUAAUACAUAAGCGUUGAAACUUUGAUUUAUCGGUCAACAUUUAUUUACCAAAAUUUCGAUGUCUAGAAAUGCCCCCACUUCAAGGCGCGUCGUAUACAUGUGCUUGUCACGUGUAUGAGAUGCGUUUUGAAAUCCCUUAUUGUAGAUGUCGAUCCAAGGGCCGUUGGGGCUUGAUCUUGAAUUGGGCUGGAAAUUUAUUCAAGGGCCGUUGAGGCUUGUUCUUGAACUUUGUUUGAAAUUUCUUCAAGGGUCGUCGAGGCUUGAUCUUGAAGGUUGAAAUUGGACCACAAGGAGCUUCAUGUGGUAGAUGAUCUUUGGCUUUGGUAGUGGAUGAAUUGGCACGUAUUUGUUUUUUGCGCUUGUUGACUUUCCACAGCUUUGAUCUUGAACUGGGUUGGAGGACUUUCUGGAUUCCUCCAAUUGUUGACUUUCCACAACUUAUUCUUGAACUGGAUUUGAUUCAAGGGUGGUAGACGCUUGAUCUUGGAUCAGACUUGUGAUUUCCUCAAAGACCGUUGAGGCCUGAUUUUGAAUUUGGAUGGAAGCUUCUUCAAGGGCCGUUGAGGCUUGAUUCUUGAAGGUUGACUCGAACACAUGACAAGCAAGCACGAGUUAAAGGUGACGACUUGUUGCUUUGUUCAAUCUUUCUAAUUCACACCUGAGCAGUUUGGUCAACGGUAUGAUCUUCAAGAUUGAUGGGCUCUUCUUCUAGUUGGUGACUUGAUCUUUAAGGAUUUGAUUCAAGGGUGGUAAAUCAGCACGUGCAGCCCACAACGCCUAGCAAGUUGACUCAAGAAUUUGAGGGUCAAAAUGAGUCCUCCACCCAAAGUGAUCGCAACCCUGAUGAUAUGCGAUACUUUUGAUUUUGAAGAAGUAGCGGAUGAAUCGACACGUGUUUUGUUGUGCUUGUCUCCACAUGCUUUAAUGUAUCAUUUUCCAUUCCUUAAAUGUUCUCCAGGCAAAUGUGGCAUCUUCUCGAGUUCCUCAGCUCAGACUCUUUCUGCUGAGUUGAGUGUGCAGGCUGCAAGUUGAGUGUACAGGCUGCAUUCUUCUCUACUUGUUUCUUCUGCACGUUGUCUCCACAUGCUGCAAGGUAUCAUUUUCACUUGUCUUAUCUGUUUUCCAGGAAGAUGUGGCAGCUUCUUUGGAAGUACAGCAGUAGUGGAAGACGAGUACUUGAGAGCAAUGCCAGGUAAGCAACCAGGCAAAAGUUCCAGGUAGUCGAUUCCUUACCCGAGUUUGAGUGGAGGUUUCGGCAUAUUGUUUUCUUUAUCCUUGUCUUUGUAGGUAAGAACAAGGACAAAGGAAAGGACAUGGAGAAAGCAUGAUAUGAGAUACUCUUGCUUUCUACCCUGGUGAUAUGAGAUACUUUUGCUUUGGUGUCAUUUGCUUGCAAAGGUCCCCCAAGGAAUAAGGAACACUGAGUGACUCGAGAGGGUUUGUUGGAAAUGCAUUCUCAGAGAUGAAGAAAGGUUGAGUAUGUCUGCCUUGCUAUGGAGGGUGAAUGUGGACAGUUAUAAGAAGUUCUUUAAUACCUGUAGAUGUACUAUUCUUUCACUCAUGUCGGCAACCGUUGAGUGAUUGAUCAGUAUGGCUUCACGUGCUUUUCUUUUUCAUCAGAAAUCUUUGACAAAUUGUCCGUAAUUUUCGCCAAGCUGAGUGUGCAUGUGACAUGUGUUGACGAGGCUGAAAAAGACUGGCGCCUCUUCGAUAUCUGGGAUUGGUGCUUCGACAAACUGCCCGUGAUUUUCGCAAAGCUGAGUGUGCAUGUGACAGAUGGUGACACGUCUGGAAAAGCAGAUGCCUUUCCGAUUUCUGAGUUUGCCUCUUCGAGUUCUGAGCUCCGUCGAGUGCAGAGGUUGCAUGUGACAAGUGCGGACAAAUCUGGAAAUGAAGAUUGGCCCAUGUUUUCUGAGAAAGCCCAGCUUUUGAAAAAGCUAGCACUUCUUCGAUUUUUGAAUUGGCCUCUUCGAAUUUUGAGCUCACCUCUUCGAUCUCUGAAAUCCCAUUGAGUGCUGAUUUUUUAUAGAGGCACGCAGUUUGUUUCAAAGCACACUUGAAUUUUUUUGCUUGUAGAAACUCCCUUCUUGCACUUCUAAGAUCUUGAUUUGUCCGACCUCUUCUUUCUUCAACACCUUUGAAAAUGUCUGGCCCUUCCGACCGUCGUUUUGACUUGAACCUUAGUGAAGAGGCAGUCCCGCCUUCUCCAGACAAUAUAUGGCGCUCAUCAUUCAUAUCCCCUACUAGUCCUCUUACUGUUGGGGAUUCGGUGAUGAAGAAUGAUAUGACCGCUGCGGUGGUGGCCCAGAACCUUGUCACUCCCAAAGAUAACAGACUACUUUCCAAACAGUCUGAUAAGUUGGCUGUUAAGGAUUCUCUGGCUCUCAGUGUGCAGUGUGCAGGUUCUGUGUCUAAUAUGGCCCAACGUCUAUUUGCUCGAACUCGUCAAGUUGAAUCAUUAGCGGCCGAAGUGAUGAGUCUCAAACAGGAGAUUAGAGGGCUCAAGCAUGAGAAUAAACAGUUGCACAUGCUCAGACAUAACUAUGCUACAAACAUGAAGAGGAAGAUUGACCAGUUGCAUGAAUCUGAUGGUCAGAUUUUACUUGAUCAUCAGAGGUUUGUGAGUUUGUUCCAACAACAUUUGCCUUCGUCUUCUGGGGCUGUACCGCGUAAUGAAGCUCCAAAUGAUCAACCUCCGGCUCUUCUUUUUCCCGGAGUUCCGCCAAGUGAUGAGGCGCCAUAUGAUCAAUGAAGGCUCCUUAUAUUUGCUACUUGCACAUUUGUAAAAAAAAUUUGUUUGCAUGUAGAAUGCAAUUUUAUGUAAUCUUUCCAGAGAAAUAAAUAAAAUGGACUUUACUUCUCUCAAUGCAUUUUUUUUUUCAACCAUCUUCUGCUUUUGUGUUAGACAUCCCUAUUUCCAUUAUUGCCCUGUGUUGCCUUCAACAAAAGGCAAAUCUUUGACAACUUGCACAUACACACCACAUCAAAAAUUUAUACUUUCUUAUUUGCUUUCGGUGCCACUACCUUUCUUUACAAUUAUUAUUUUUUUUUUUAAUCAUGCACCCACCCAUUAUUAUUUUUAUAUAUUAUUAUUAUUUUUUCAUAUGGUGCAAUCCGCACCAUCCCACCUCCCUACUUUCUUUUGCUCCUUCUUUUCAAAAUGGGCUGAUGGUGAUGAUCCUUUAUAAAAAAAAAAAUUUUAAUCAUGCACCCACCCAUUAUUUUUUAUAUAUUAUUAUUAUUUUUUCAUAUGGUGCAAUCUGCACCAUCCCACCUCCCUACUUUCUUUUGCUCCUUCUUUUCAAAAUGGGCUGAUGGUGAUGAUCCUUUAUAAUUUUGUUUUUUUUUUACAUGGUGCGGAUUGCACCAUAUGAAAAAAUAAUAAUAAUAUAUAAAAAAUAAUGGGUGGGUGCAUGAUUUAAAAAAAAAAAAAAAAAAAAGGGUUUCAGGAAUGGUGCACCGCACCAUGUAAAAAAAAAUUAUAAAGGAUCAUCACCAUCAACCCAUUUUGAAAAGAAGGAGCAAAAGAAAGUAGGGAGGUGGGAUGGUGUGGAUUGCACCAUAUGAAAAAAUAAUAAUAAUAUAUAAAAAAUAAUGGGUGGGUGCAUGAUUAAAAAAAAAAAUAAUUAUAAAGGAUCAUCACCAUUAGCCCAUUUUGAAAAAGAAGGAGCAAAAGAAAGUAGGGAGGUGGGAUGGUGCGGAUUGCACCAUAUGAAAAAAUAAUAAUAAUAUAUAAAAAAUAAUGGGAGGGUGCAUGAUUAAAAAAAAAAAAAUUAUAAGAGAUCAUCACCAUCAGCCCAUUUUGAAAAGGAGCAAAAGAAAGUAGGGAGGUGGGAUGGUGCGGAUUGCACCAUAUGAAAAAAUAAUAAUAAUAUGUAAAAAAAAUAAUGGGUGGGUGCAUGAUUAAAAAAAAAAGAAAAAGUGAACACGAAAAUUUCCUGAAAGAAAAGAGACAAGAACAACGUGCACAAAAUAAUAUUUGUAUUUGAUGAUUUUGGGUUAAAAUCUCUCUUAAAAUUUGAUUAUCUGAUUCAAUCUCCGUAAGCUGUUGAUUUGUAGAUGUGCGAUUGAUCCAAAGGGCCGUUGGGCUUGAUCUAAGGAUGAACGUUCUUCAAAGGCCGUGGGCUUGAUCUUGAAUGUGGAUUUGAACGGAUCUUCAAGGAGCCGUUGGGGCUUGAUCUUGAGGAUGAGCGUUUCUUCAAGGGUCGUUGAAACUUGAUCUUGAAUAACGGUGAUGAACGGAUCUUCAAGGGCUUUUGGGCUUGAUCUUGAAGAACAGUGAUGAACGGUUGGAUGUAUGGAUUUGUCGACGUUGUUGAUCCAAAGGGGCAUUGGGGCUUGAUCUUAGAAUGAACGGAUGAUGAACGAUGAACACUUUCUUCAAGGGCCGUUGGGGUUUGAUCUUGAAUUGGUGGAAGUUCUUCAAGGGCCUUUGAGGCUUGAUCUUGAAUUGGUGGAAGUUCUUCAAAGGGCCGUCGGGGCUUGAUCUUGAAGGUGGAUGAUUGUUGAUCCAAGAGCCGUCGGGGCUUGAUCUGGGAAGAACGAUGAACGAAGAACGACGAGGGCUUUCUUGAUUCUUCGGGAACCUGGAUGCUUGAGAGCUUCGGAGUUUCAGAGUUUCAGAGCUUCAAGGUUUUGGUGUAAU
Molecule: long non-coding RNA, 5107 nt
Filed under: Malus domestica (apple)
Lineage: Eukaryota; Viridiplantae; Streptophyta; Magnoliopsida; Rosales; Rosaceae
Description: long non-coding RNA (MDOM_LNC007200)
Source: RNAcentral